RNAcentral lists this transfer RNA (59 nucleotides) under Rupicapra rupicapra (chamois). RNAcentral describes it as "tRNA-Ser". Lineage: Eukaryota; Metazoa; Chordata; Mammalia; Artiodactyla; Bovidae. The record is from RNAcentral.
GAAAAAGUAUGCAAGAACUGCUAAUUCUGUGCCCCAUGCCUAAUAACAUGGCUUUUUCA